Non-coding RNA from Nicotiana attenuata, 102 nucleotides. Lineage: Eukaryota; Viridiplantae; Streptophyta; Magnoliopsida; Solanales; Solanaceae. The record is from Rfam.
AUGUGUGUGGUGAGGAAGCAAAUUAUGUGGACUAGAGUUUCUGAUCCUGGGGAUUCAUUCCCUUUUGGUUGAAGACAAACCCUUGGCUGUCUGAGCACACUC